UACGAAGGGGGCUAUCGUUGUUCGGAAUUACUGGGCGUAAAGAGUUCGUAGGCGGUUUAUUAAGCUAGAUGUGAAAUCCCUGGGCUUAACUCAGGAACUGCAUUUAGAACUGGUAAGCUAGAGAGUGUUAGAGGUUGGUAGAAUUCCUAGUGUAGGGGUGAAAUCCGUAGAUAUUAGGAGGAAUACCGAUGGCGAAGGCAGCCAACUGGGACAUUUCUGACGCUGAGGAACGAAAGCGUGGGUAGCAAACAGG
Molecule: ribosomal RNA, 253 nt
Filed under: uncultured bacterium
Lineage: Bacteria
Description: partial 16S ribosomal RNA
Rfam family: Bacterial small subunit ribosomal RNA
Source: RNAcentral